Anas platyrhynchos (mallard) is the source of this 569-nucleotide long non-coding RNA. RefSeq lists it as uncharacterized. The record is from RefSeq and is a predicted model, not a curated record. NCBI's taxonomy places the organism in Eukaryota, Metazoa, Chordata, Aves, Anseriformes, Anatidae.
UACACUUCCUGUGUGACUCUGAACAAGUCAUUUCAUCUUUGUGCUUAGUUCACUACCUAGGAAAGAGAGGAGCUACAGAUAUUCUUUAUGGGAUUCUGGGAUUCACCAGAACAAUUUCAUCAAUGUUUGAGGUACUAGUACCAUUGAGGUAUCCAGCCUCACCUGCAGCAAUUACUCCAGAAACUCCACAGGAAAAUGAAGUUUUUGGAACUGAUCAUCUUCAUCAAUGGAGUGAUGCAUUGGUUUAAAUCUGGAAACACAAUGAACCUUUGGUGUAACUGGUUGCUGAAUCUCAUCUAAGCCCAGGACACCUACCACACACCCUCAGAAAGUGCACUUCAGUUCUGGUAUGAAACAUAGGAAGUUAAGUUGCUCUCCUUCAAAAAGGUAGAGAAUAUAAAUAUGAAUCAUGGUAAAUAAAUGAGAUGACUUUCUGGCAAUUCAUUAAAUUGUCAUGGCUUCCUUUGUUGAUCAACCACUUCAUAACUGUGAUUCUUUCAGAUCACUGCCAGCAGUUUUGCAUCUCUUCUACAGGGCUGCUGUAGAGGACUAAAAACUGCAACCUAGAU